GAGGAAUAUUGGUCAAUGGACGGAAGUCUGAACCAGCCAAGUAGCGUGCAGGAAGACGGCCCUAUGGGUUGUAAACUGCUUUUGUAUGGGGAUAAAGUCAAUCACGUGUGAUUGUUUGCAGGUACCAUACGAAUAAGGACCGGCUAAUUCCGUGCCAGCAGCCGCGGUAAUACGGAAGGUUCGGGCGUUAUCCGGAUUUAUUGGGUUUAAAGGGAGCGUAGGCCGGAGAUUAAGUGUGUUGUGAAAUGUAGACGCUCAACGUCUGACUUGCAGCGCAUACUGGUUUCCUUGAGUACGCACAACGUUGGCGGAAUUCGUCGUGUAGCGGUGAAAUGCUUAGAUAUGACGAAGAACUCCGAUUGCGAAGGCAGCUGACGGGAGCGCAACUGACGCUUAAGCUCGAAGGUGCGGGUAUCAAACAGGAUUAGAUACCCUGGUAGUCCGCACAGUAAACGAUGGAUGCCCGCUGUUGGUACCUGGUAUCAGCGGCUAAGCGAAAGCAUUAAGCAUCCCACCUGGGGAGUACGCCGGCAACGGUG
Molecule: ribosomal RNA, 539 nt
Filed under: uncultured bacterium
Lineage: Bacteria
Description: bacterial SSU rRNA
Rfam family: Bacterial small subunit ribosomal RNA
Source: RNAcentral